RNAcentral lists this ribosomal RNA (484 nucleotides) under uncultured bacterium. Its description in RNAcentral is "partial 16S ribosomal RNA". It matches the Rfam family "Bacterial small subunit ribosomal RNA", at positions 30 to 507 of the family's 1533-position model. The record is from RNAcentral.
AUUGAACGCUGGCGGCAGGCCUAACACAUGCAAGUCGAGCGGAUGAAGGGAGCUUGCUCCUGGAUUCAGCGGCGGACGGGUGAGUAAUGCCUAGGAAUCUGCCUGGUAGUGGGGGAUAACGUCCGGAAACGGGCGCUAAUACCGCAUACGUCCUGAGGGAGAAAGUGGGGGAUCUUCGGACCUCACGCUAUCAGAUGAGCCUAGGUCGGAUUAGCUAGUUGGUGGGGUAAAGGCCUACCAAGGCGACGAUCCGUAACUGGUCUGAGAGGAUGAUCAGUCACACUGGAACUGAGGCACGGUCCAGACUCCUACGGGAGGCAGCAGUGGGGAAUAUUGGACAAUGGGCGAAAGCCUGAUCCAGCCAUGCCGCGUGUGUGAAGAAGGUCUUCGGAUUGCAAAGCACUUUAAGUUGGGAGGAAGGGCAGUAAGUUAAUACCUUGCUGUUUUGACGUUACCAACAGAAUAAGCACCGGCUAACUUCGUG